AUAUAUGGUUCGUGAUUUGGACUGAAACUGUGACCAUUUUCUUAGGGAACGGGGGGAUAAUGUCACGCACGCAUAUAUGUUUACGUUUUAUUUAUAGUCUUAUGUGUGUCGUUAUGUCACGUGGUAUGUAUGUGAGUAAGCAAGAGUGUGAAAGACAGAGCGUUCAGGUGAGAACGAACGUGGAAUUGGUAUUGUCCACUUGUCGGGUAGUUUUAUACCCUUUUUCCACCAGGAAUUGAUGCAUGUGGGAAGCCUAGACAGCAGACUGGGCUUCACAUGAUGGGCAGGCAACAAGAACUACUUCUGUAAGCCGGCAAGAAAAGACAUGACACCUCAUCUUUAUAAAGUCAGCACCAGGACCGACCAAACAGAUUAUAGAAUCUUCAGGGUCAAGGUCAGCUGUGUAAAGACGGCAGUCUACAGGCAGGCAUGAAGAGUACGCCAGUUGUCAUUGGAGAAAGAUAGCCUCGGAUUGGAGGAACUCUGUAUGACGUACCAGACACAGACAGGUAUCUUGGUACAUACACUUUGCUCAGAGCAAGGUUACUUUGAGGAGAAUUGGAGUAAAUUCUCAGGUUCUUGGAACCCUACCUAUUUAGCGACAGGUACAGAGAUACUGUACACGCUGUAUGUUCGGCAUUGGACUACACUGAGACGUGGUGCUCCCCAUUUGUGAAGAGACUUUAGUUAUCUGUAGAACAUUAUCGCAUGAAAGGUAGUGAGAGUGAUCGUGAGUGUGAAUACAACUAGGUAUCUAUUAAGUUUGUGUGUGUAAAUAAAUUUGUAUAUAUGUAUUU
Pecten maximus is the source of this 797-nucleotide long non-coding RNA. RefSeq lists it as uncharacterized. The record is from RefSeq and is a predicted model, not a curated record. Lineage: Eukaryota; Metazoa; Mollusca; Bivalvia; Pectinida; Pectinidae. The transcript has 2 exons.